CUAGACUGAAAGCUGCCGCGGGGAAUGCCGGGACCUUCGGAAGGCCUGACGCAUGCGCAAUGGCUCAGCCCCCACCAACGGGCGGGGCGGAGUACGCAGGCGCUUCCUAAAGGACCUUUCGGUUUCUCUGGUUUCCGCCUUCCGCUAAUCGACAGCCCUCCUCACCAAUGAAUCGACAGGAUCUUCUUCGUGUCGUGCCCUGGAGCCAAUCGGGGUAUUUAAGCAAACGGAGGGUGUGGGAAGCCGGGCUUUAGACGUUUGUUAACUCUCUCCUAUUGGUUACUGCUCUUCUGUUGGCCAGGCGCUUCCGCUUCCUGACUUGGAUGGGUUUUCCUUCCAACACCGGUGUUGCUCAGAGGGUUUUCCAGAUUGGAGUAUUCUGGAUUUGUUUUGAAGAGGGAGCUGGUGGAUUGCGAUGUUGAGUGUGAGGGUAAGAAUUGGGCUGAGAGAGAGCCCAAUGUGGAGCCCAACCCCGGAUCUAUCUCACAACCCCGGGAUCUUGACCUGAGCUGAAAUCAAGAGUCAGACACAUAACCGACUGAGCCUCCCAGGCAUGCCAUGAA
Long non-coding RNA from Mustela lutreola (European mink), 563 nucleotides. RefSeq lists it as uncharacterized. The transcript has 3 exons. The record is from RefSeq and is a predicted model, not a curated record. NCBI's taxonomy places the organism in Eukaryota, Metazoa, Chordata, Mammalia, Carnivora, Mustelidae.